CCAGACUCCUACGGGAGGCAGCAGUGGGGAAUAUUGGGCAAUGGGCGCAAGCCUGACCCAGCAACGCCGCGUGAAGGAAGAAGGCUUUCGGGUUGUAAACUUCUUUUCUCAGGGACGAAGCAAGUGACGGUACCUGAGGAAUAAGCCACGGCUAACUACGUGCCAGCAGCCGCGGUAAUACGUAGGUGGCCAGCGUUAUCCGGAUUUACUGGGUGUAAAGGGAGCGUAGACGGCAAUACAAGCCGGAAGUGAAAUACCCGGGCUCAACCUGGGAACUGCUUUGGAAACUGUAUGGCUAGAGUGCUGGAGAGGUAAGCGGAAUUCCUAGUGUAGCGGUGAAAUGCGUAGAUAUUAGGAGGAACACCGGUGGCGAAGGCGGCCUGCUGGACUGCAACUGACGUUGAGGCCCGAAAGCGUGGGGAGCAAACAGGAUUAGAUACCCUGGUA
RNAcentral lists this ribosomal RNA (447 nucleotides) under uncultured bacterium. RNAcentral describes it as "bacterial SSU rRNA". It matches the Rfam family "Bacterial small subunit ribosomal RNA", at positions 331 to 792 of the family's 1533-position model. The record is from RNAcentral.